Carassius gibelio (silver crucian carp) is the source of this 789-nucleotide long non-coding RNA. RefSeq lists it as uncharacterized. NCBI's taxonomy places the organism in Eukaryota, Metazoa, Chordata, Actinopteri, Cypriniformes, Cyprinidae. The transcript is spliced from 4 exons. The record is from RefSeq and is a predicted model, not a curated record.
UGAAGAGGGGGCGGGGCAAGUAACUGUGCGUGGUGAUUGACAACUCCUGUGCACGUGCUCUGUCAUCCCACCGCGUCUACAGACCCUGGCAAUCGUAUGAUAACUCCCCUCUCUCUCUCCCUUUACUCUCUACACCUUAGUUAAAAUAUUCCAUUAAUAUAAUACGUUUCUUAAAUAAUUAGCUGUGACGUUACAACAAAAUGCUCAUCAGGGUACAGCUGACAGUUUAGGAAUAAUGGUGUUGGAGGUGAUGACAGAUGAAACAGACUCAGAAAUACCAGAGCAGGGCCAUAUGCUUGCUUUUGGAAAUAAUAACAGAGGUCAGCUUGGCAUAUAAACCAAAGGACCGGUUAAAAAAUGAUCUGUGUUAAAGCUCUUAAAGGGGAGAGAGCUCAGUUUGCCUGUGGGACUGAUCAUACACUCGUCUGAACUUGAGAGCUCAUCUGUACAGUUUGGCCCAGAAUUUUGCAGUCUUCCUCCUCCUACAACUGGCUUUACUGCACUAGCCCUGACAGGCAACAUCUACAAUCCAGAUCUCCGACAGACACUCCUAAAUGCUUGAAAAAAAAAUAUGUGUCUGUGGAAUCUGUUUUUACCUCAAUCACACUGCCAGCCAGGACAUCUUCAUGUAAAUAUUUUCAUAUUGUUUUAUUUUUUAUGUUCUCCCAAGACCUCCCUCUUCAUCGAUCUAUUAUCUGUCUAUCUAUGAUUCAAAUAUCUCUUACAGCAAUUACUGUAUGUAGUAUAGUGAAAUAGUAUAUCACUAAAUAAAGUCAUUUUAAAUGACUC